This 884-nucleotide ribosomal RNA is filed under the name uncultured bacterium. RNAcentral describes it as "bacterial SSU rRNA". It matches the Rfam family "Bacterial small subunit ribosomal RNA", at positions 31 to 896 of the family's 1533-position model. The record is from RNAcentral.
GAACGCUGGCGGCGUGCCUAAUACAUGCAAGUCGAGCGAACAGAUAAGGAGCUUGCUCCUUUGACGUUAGCGGCGGACGGGUGAGUAACACGUGGGUAACCUAUCUAUAAGACUGGAAUAACUCCGGGAAACCGGGGCUAAUGCCGGAUAACAUGUUGAACCGCAUGGUUCUACAGUGAAAGGCGGCUUUGCUGUCACUUAUAGAUGGACCCGCGCCGUAUUAGCUAGUUGGUGAGGUAACGGCUCACCAAGGCAACGAUACGUAGCCGACCUGAGAGGGUGAUCGGCCACACUGGAACUGAGACACGGUCCAGACUCCUACGGGAGGCAGCAGUAGGGAAUCUUCCGCAAUGGGCGAAAGCCUGACGGAGCAACGCCGCGUGAGUGAUGAAGGUCUUCGGAUCGUAAAACUCUGUUAUUAGGGAAGAACAAAUGCGUAAGUAACUGUGCGCGUCUUGACGGUACCUAAUCAGAAAGCCACGGCUAACUACGUGCCAGCAGCCGCGGUAAUACGUAGGUGGCAAGCGUUAUCCGGAAUUAUUGGGCGUAAAGCGCGCGUAGGCGGUUUUUUAAGUCUGAUGUGAAAGCCCACGGCUCAACCGUGGAGGGUCAUUGGAAACUGAAAAACUUGAGUGCAGAAGAGGAAAGUGGAAUUCCAUGUGUAGCGGUGAAAUGCGCAGAGAUAUGGAGGAACACCAGUGGCGAAGGCGACUUUCUGGUCUGUAACUGACGCUGAUGUGCGAAAGCGUGGGGAUCAAACAGGAUUAGAUACCCUGGUAGUCCACGCCGUAAACGAUGAGUGCUAAGUGUUAGGGGGUUUCCGCCCCUUAGUGCUGCAGCUAACGCAUUAAGCACUCCGCCUGGGGAGUACGGCCGCAAGGCUU